RNAcentral lists this ribosomal RNA (479 nucleotides) under Pseudomonas sp. 01WB02.2-34. RNAcentral describes it as "bacterial SSU rRNA". It matches the Rfam family "Bacterial small subunit ribosomal RNA", at positions 1 to 484 of the family's 1533-position model. Lineage: Bacteria; Pseudomonadati; Pseudomonadota; Gammaproteobacteria; Pseudomonadales; Pseudomonadaceae. The record is from RNAcentral.
UAGAGUUUGAUCAUGGCUCAGAUUGAACGCUGGCGGCAGGCCUAACACAUGCAAGUCGAGCGGAUGAAAGGAGCUUGCUCCUGGAUUCAGCGGCGGACGGGUGAGUAAUGCCUAGGAAUCUGCCUGGUAGUGGGGGACAACGUUUCGAAAGGAACGCUAAUACCGCAUACGUCCUACGGGAGAAAGCAGGGGACCUUCGGGCCUUGCGCUAUCAGAUGAGCCUAGGUCGGAUUAGCUAGUUGGUGAGGUAAUGGCUCACCAAGGCGACGAUCCGUAACUGGUCUGAGAGGAUGAUCAGUCACACUGGAACUGAGACACGGUCCAGACUCCUACGGGAGGCAGCAGUGGGGAAUAUUGGACAAUGGGCGAAAGCCUGAUCCAGCCAUGCCGCGUGUGUGAAGAAGGUCUUCGGAUUGUAAAGCACUUUAAGUUGGGAGGAAGGGCAGUAAAUUAAUACUUGCUGUUUGACGUACCGACAG